AAUAUUGGACAAUGGGCGACAGCCUGAUCCAGCCAUGCCGCGUGUGUGAAGAAGGUCUUAGGAAUGUAAAGCACUUUUUGUAGGGAGGAAGGGCAGUAAGUUAAUACCUUGCUGUCUUGACGUUACCGCCAGAAUAAGCACCUGCUAACUUCCUGCCAGCACCCGCGGUAAUACGAGGGGUGCAAGCGUUAAUCGGAAUUAAUGGGCGUAAAGCGGGCGUAGGGGGUUCGUUAAGUUGGAAGUGAAAGCCCCGGGCUUAACCUGGGAAUUGCUUUCAAAACUGACGAGCUAGAGUACGGUAGAGGGUAGUGGAAUUUCCUGUGUAGCGGUGAAAUGCGUAGAUAUAGGAAGGAACAUCAGUGGCGAAGGCGACUACCUGGACUGAUACUGACACUGAGGUGCGAAAGCGUGGGGAGCAAACAG
Molecule: ribosomal RNA, 423 nt
Filed under: uncultured bacterium
Lineage: Bacteria
Description: partial 16S ribosomal RNA
Rfam family: Bacterial small subunit ribosomal RNA
Source: RNAcentral